GCGGGACUGGUCUAGUCUGGUCUAGGACGUCAGCCUCCCAAGCUGGAGAUCCCGGGUUCAAAUCCCGGGUCCCGCA
Molecule: transfer RNA, 76 nt
Filed under: Nitrososphaerota archaeon
Lineage: Archaea; Thermoproteati; Nitrososphaerota
Description: tRNA-Gly
Rfam family: tRNA
About the family: Transfer RNA (tRNA) molecules are approximately 80 nucleotides in length. Their secondary structure includes four short double-helical elements and three loops (D, anti-codon, and T loops).
Source: RNAcentral